Anguilla rostrata (American eel) is the source of this 2109-nucleotide long non-coding RNA. RefSeq lists it as uncharacterized. Lineage: Eukaryota; Metazoa; Chordata; Actinopteri; Anguilliformes; Anguillidae. The record is from RefSeq and is a predicted model, not a curated record. The transcript has 2 exons.
GGCCUGGAGGAACAGAGGGAAAAAACAAGCCACUUUCAUUCCCCCUCUGCUGUUUUCACAGGCCCAGUGUCUGCACUCCUGAUAAGGCUCAGAAGUGUCUUUGCCUGUUCUUGGCGUGGGGAGCAAGUGGCACAAACAUCAACCUCAAGCCGUCAUCACUGAGGCAUCUUCUACUUGCACCAUUUUGACGAUGACUAAUUUUCAUGGCGGCGUAAAGCAAAAUGUUGGCUUUUGGAUGAUGUCGUCAAGGACGCUCACCUGUACGGUGCAUCAUGGGAACUGAAAUGGUGAAGGACCGGGUGACGAGGAAGGCACGGUUGUCCACCAUCUUGUGGUGAAACCUCUCGUCCCAGUGAGCUGUGAGGAUUGGAGUGCCGUGUUAACUUGGAGCUACAGCACGUUCUCAGACAUCACAACGUGAAAUGAAAGGGUUAAAGGCCUUUUCUGAUCUGUGCAACACAAUAACGUCCCCUGAAACAAUUCUUGGUCUGGAAUGGGACUGUCCUACAAGUAAUUAGAAAGUUUUCAGAAGUACCUCAACAUUAUCUAUCAUGUGAACAGUCCAAUGGGAGACCUUGAAAGGAACAGCUGCUCAUAAAAUCGAAUGUUAUGUGGUCAAACCUUUCCACAGCUAUUUGGUGUGAGAAGACCCCUUUCCUUACCUGCCCCAGAGGUAUACCCCAAGAAAUUGUGGAGGGUCUACUCACGCUUGAAGAACAUGGCGUUGACGAUCAUGGCGCCAUCGGUCUUGUCCACGUCCUUGGUGACCUCGGGCAGCUUUCCGUCGGUGGACUUGGCCGCCCACUCGUUGAUGGACUUGAGGGCGCUGCGCUUGUCGCGGAAGUUGAUCUUGGAGUGCUCGUAGUUGUAGUGCUUCUUGCUGCUCUUCACGAAGUCGUCGGCGAAGUUGACGGAGCUGGGCCCGUACAGGCGGCCGCUGAUCUUCCAGGUGACGUUGCGGGCGGUGGAAUUGCUGACCUCGGUCAGGAGCUCGGCCAGGCCGGCGUGCAGGUGCUCGUCCUUGACCGCGCCGGCGGCGAGCACCGUCUUCACCUGCGAGGCCGUGGAGGCCUUCCCGCCCAGAGCCACCAGGCCCAGGGAGGAGGCCACCACCACGGGGGAGAUGGCGAUGUUCUCCAGGUCCUUCUCCUUGGCCACGUUGUGGUAGAGGUUGAACGCCAGGUUGGCGCUGUUGUCCGCCAGGGCGGUGGCGUGGCUGCUCAGCUUCCCUUCCUCCCCGGCCGCCAGUCCCGCCAAGAUCGCCAGUAGGCACAGAGCCGCCAUGUUCGUCGCCCGCAUGCUUUCGAGAGUGGACUCAAACCAAGAUGGAGCUCUGGAAGCGUGAUGGACAGACACAGAAAAAAAAGAGAGGGAGAAGUGUCUUAAUCUGUCCUUCCUGCUGUGAAAUUUUGCACAGUGUUAAUUUUGAAAUGAUUAUUACUUUUGGUAAGGGUAUUCUUUUUUUUAAAAAAUGCCUAAAUCCUUAAUUUUACACUUCAAAACAAAGCUUUUGAGGUGUUUCCUACUCCAGUGCUGAGAGAGUUCAGACAGAAAGCUUUUGUAGCAUUUCCACCUGAAAGCUCAGAGCUUAGUCGCUUCCUGCUCUCUAUAUUUAGCAGAUUGAACUGAAGAGACUGGAGGAUAAGUGUAAUUACAGGCUGCGUGUCCGUGCUGAGCUCUGGAGCCACAGUUUCCGAGCCAGUGGUGAGCAGAUGUUUUGUAUAACGGCCACGUCAGCUGCUGGAGGGCACACAACCCAUGCAGAGGCCAAACGGCUUAAGCAAAAAUAAACGACUAUUUAAAAAUGUUUCUGCUUAAGAGAGGAUAUAUUUCCCCAGCACUCGUAAUCAGAGCCACACUCAGCUCAGAAACGUCUGAGAAAGUUAGUAGUUUUUUAUAAAGACUUUAUGCGACUCACCAGGAUUAGCACAUGAAACAAUCAAUAAAACACGUUAUAAGCAAAGCAAAAUCCAUUUACAAAGCAUAUUUCGUGAACAGGGCUGUUACUUUCCUUGUUUUUCGUGUGAUGUAUUUUAAAACGGUAUGAAUGGAUUGUUUAAAUGCAAACCCCCAGGUGUGGUUAUACACAGACUGCUAUUGUUUAAACAA